Non-coding RNA from Xyrichtys novacula (pearly razorfish), 1324 nucleotides. Lineage: Eukaryota; Metazoa; Chordata; Actinopteri; Labriformes; Labridae. The record is from the annotation of a GenBank genome assembly.
GCCAAAGUAUGUCUGUUUUUCCUUGUGUGUUUGGUCACGCUGGUAGCCGCCAGUCCAGAAAAACGCCUCAGCAAGGCUGGGAUUUUCUCUAUUUUCGUCACCCAAAGCAAUGAUUUGGCUUUGGGAUAUCCCAUAGGUAAGUGAAAUACCUGUAAUCCUAUUAUACUGCUCAAACAAGUGGAUUAAGAAACAAAAUCACCUCUGAUCCUACGAUGCUUAGCACCUGUGGUUUGGACCAAAAGACUGCACAUGAAAUACUGUAUGAGUUCACUGAUAGAUUUAUCUCUGGAAAAGAGUUUUACAGAUUCAUUUUGCACAGACUUUGGCUGACAGCCAUUAAGACUGUUACAAAUAAACAGGACCCAUUCACGCAAGAUUUAAUAAACACAAAUUAUGCAACUUUCAAAGGAAGUGGACGAUUUAAUCCAAUUGUUAUUAUUCAUUCCAGCACACUUCUCAGCAUCAGUGUGGUAUUACUGAAUGGACCACAUGCAGUAUUGAUAACUGUAGCCAUCUGCUGUAUUGCACUAAAGUUAGCAAUAAUGUUAUGAUCAUUCUAUGUCCAUAAUAAAACAUCAACACACUAGCAGUAUUUCAUCAAACUAGACAAGAUUAGAUACAUGAUAGUUAGUCACAAUAGUGCAUGAGGGCACAUCUAUCCAUACUCUCACAUUCACAUGUUAGCAACAACAUAUAUUAAGUAAGUUUAAAGCAAGAAUAUUAAAGAAAAUGGACACAGAGUUUCGUGGCCUUUAGCUGAUUUAUCAUUUUACUUGAACUUUUCAAAAUUGAAAUUUAGCUCACAUUCAAUAAACCACUGAUGACACAGUCAAAAUUCAGUAGAGUUUUUCCUCUUAUUCAAGCCUUGAAAACUUCAGUUCCAGUGUCUUUGUCUCCCAUAACCUUUAAAAAUGAAAUCAUCACUGUCUUUGUUCUUUUGUUUAAUGUCUGUGUUUGCAACAUUGUUCAGUGUGUUUCACAUUUCUGUCUGUGUCGGACUACUACUUUAAGAGCUUUUGAAUUGCACAUCUAUAGUUGUUUUCUACUAAAUUAGUAUGGCUCAGGAUCUUGGUGUACAAUGGUUUUACCGUUACACUGUGUGAAAUAUUAAUUGAGUGCAAUUAUUUUCCAACAAAUCAGAUGCUGAGUAUGCUUCACGGCUUAUUGAGAUGUCUGUCUUCGUCUUUAUCCACAGUCGAGGCCCUGUACAAGAGCACAUACCCACAGUACCUCCAGUACAUCUACCUGGUCGCACCUGUGUCCCUGAUCUUUCUAAAUCCCAUCGGUUUUUGCCUCUGUGAGAUAGAGAAGUGGAAGAAUCAGG